This 492-nucleotide ribosomal RNA is filed under the name Triticum aestivum (bread wheat). RNAcentral describes it as "partial small subunit ribosomal RNA". The record is from RNAcentral. Lineage: Eukaryota; Viridiplantae; Streptophyta; Magnoliopsida; Poales; Poaceae.
AUGGCCGACGACGACAGCGGGAGCCCCCGGGGCGGCGGCGGGGUCAGGGAGCAGGACCGCUUCCUCCCCAUCGCCAACAUCAGCCGCAUCAUGAAGAAGGCCGUGCCGGCCAACGGCAAGAUCGCCAAGGACGCCAAGGAGACCCUCCAGGAGUGCGUCUCCGAGUUCAUCUCCUUCGUCACCAGCGAGGCCAGCGACAAGUGCCAGAAGGAGAAGCGCAAGACCAUCAACGGGGACGAUCUGCUCUGGGCCAUGGCCACGCUCGGAUUCGAGGAGUACGUAGACCCCCUCAAGAUCUACCUGCAAAAGUACAGAGAUAUGGAGGGUGAUAGUAAAUUGACCUCAAAAUCUGGUGAAGGAUCCGUGAAGAAAGAUAUAAUUGGUGCUCAUAGUGGUGCGACUAGCUCAAACGCCCAAGCGAUGGUUCAGCAUGGAGCUUACGCCCAAGGGAUGGGUUAUAUGCAACCCCAGUACCAUAAUGGGGACACCUGA